Molecule: ribosomal RNA, 392 nt
Filed under: uncultured bacterium
Lineage: Bacteria
Description: bacterial SSU rRNA
Rfam family: Bacterial small subunit ribosomal RNA
Source: RNAcentral
AGCGAACGUUUGCGGCGGGCUUAACACAUGCAAGUCGAACGGGCUGUUCCUUCGGGGGCAGUCAGUGGCGCACGGGUGCGUAACACGUAGGUAAUCAACCCUCUGGUUGGGGAUAACACUUCGAAAGGAGUGCUAAUACCCGGUAUGGCGCAGCGGUCUUCGGAUCGCGGCGAGAAAGACCCGCAAGGGUUGCCAGAGGACGAGCCUGCGGCCCAUCAGCUAGUUGGCGAGGUAACGGCUCACCAAGGCGAAGACGGGUAGCUGGUCUGAGAGGAUGAUCAGCCACACUGGAACUGAGACAUGGUCCAGACUCCUACGGGAGGCAGCAGUGGGGAAUAUUGCGCAAUGGGCGAAAGCCUGACGCAGCCACGCCGCGUGAGCGAUGAAGGCCU